RNAcentral lists this non-coding RNA (48 nucleotides) under Schistosoma curassoni. The record is from RNAcentral. Lineage: Eukaryota; Metazoa; Platyhelminthes; Trematoda; Strigeidida; Schistosomatidae.
AUGCAACUGACGAGUCCUAAAUAGGACGAAACACUCGUCGUGCUAGAU